RNAcentral lists this ribosomal RNA (384 nucleotides) under uncultured prokaryote. RNAcentral's name for it is "bacterial SSU rRNA". It matches the Rfam family "Archaeal small subunit ribosomal RNA", at positions 341 to 725 of the family's 1478-position model. The record is from RNAcentral.
GCGAAAACUUUACAAUGCUGGCAACAGCGAUAAGGGAACCUCGAGUGCCAGGUUACAAAUCUGGCUGUCGAGAUGCCUAAAAAGCAUUUCAUAGCAAGGGCCGGGCAAGACCGGUGCCAGCCGCCGCGGUAACACCGGCGGCUCGAGUGGUAACCGUUAUUAUUGGGUCUAAAGGGUCUGUAGCCGGCCGGAUAAGUCUCUUGAGAAAUCUGGCAGCUUAACUGGCAGGCUUUCAGGAGAUACUGUCUGGCUCGAGGCCGGGAGAGGUGAGAGGUACUUCAGGGGUAGGGGUGAAAUCUUGGAGUCCUGGAAGGACCACCAGUGGCGAAGGCGUCUCACCAGAACGGACCUGACGGCAAGGGACGAAAGCUAGGGGCACGAACC